Molecule: long non-coding RNA, 805 nt
Filed under: Monodelphis domestica (gray short-tailed opossum)
Lineage: Eukaryota; Metazoa; Chordata; Mammalia; Didelphimorphia; Didelphidae
Description: lncRNA (ENSMODG00000045314.1)
Source: RNAcentral
CUGACAGUUUGUGGGGGAAGGGCCCAACUGGGAGUGGCAGUUGGGUCUUGUGACUAGCACUUCCUUCCUGCUGGGAGUGGCAGUUGGGUCUUGUGACUAGCACUUCCUUCCUGCCUGGUGUGGCAGUUGGGUCCUGGGGACUAGCACUUCCUUCCUGCGGGGGUGGUCUUGCUUCCAGGUAUUGGAGGAGAGAGGAGCUUGUUCAGCCCAGUCUGAAGUGGCAUGCUCUUCUUGGUUGAGCCCAAAGACACAGGCUUCUAAAGAAAGAGAGCAUAGAAAAAACAACAAUCCAGGGGGAAGAACUGCUUGUAUUAAAGGUGGCAUUUGAAGCCUGGGAAUGAUGCUAUCACUUGAAUAAGACCAAGUUCUCUACAGGAGCAUAGUUGGACCAUAAGAACAUGAUAUUAGUCCAACUUGCCAAAAAACUAAGCCAGUAACAUAUAAAGAAGCUAAGGAUUCUGAGAGGAAAGGAUUGGAGGAAUACAUUACAAACAUGGGGGCAACCUGAAUAAAGACAUGGCGAUUGGAGAUGGAAUGUUCACUCUGGAGAACAACAAAUAGUUCCUUUCAUCUGAAUCAGCCUUCUUGCAUUUAUCAACCAGGGAAAAGAAAGACAACUAUCCCUAACACUCUUCAGUUUCAAAGGAACAAGCAAGAAACAACGAACUCCUCAGCUCCGAGGAGUACUUUGAUCUCCUUGGAAAAUGGGCACCAUGAAAACAAGAUGCUUCCUUUCUUGAGGAUUGUUUUUCUAUGUUCCUAUUUUUCUCCUUUUAAAACAAAGCUCUCAUCAGAAAAUGAGUAA